AAUAUUGGACAAUGGGCGAAAGCCUGAUCCAGCCAUGCCGCGUGUGUGAAGAAGGUCUUCGGAUUGUAAUGAACUUUAAUUUGGGAGGAAGGGCAGUUAACGAAUACUUAACUGUUUUGACGUUACCAACAGAAUAAGCGACGGAUAACUUCGUUCCAUCAGCGGCGGUAAUACGAAGGGUGCAAGCGUUAAGCGGAAUUACUGGGCGUAAAGCGCGCGUAGGUGGCUCGUUAAGUUGGAAGUGAAAGCCCCGGGCUCAACCUGGGAAUUGCUUUCAAGACUGGCGAGCUAGAGUACGGUAGAGGGUGGUGGAAUUUCCUGUGUAGCGGUGAAAUGCGUAGAUAUAGGAAGGAACAUCAGUGGCGAAGGCGACCACCUGGACUGAUACUGACACUGAGGUGCGAAAGCGUGGGGAGCAAACAGG
This 424-nucleotide ribosomal RNA is filed under the name uncultured bacterium. RNAcentral's name for it is "partial 16S ribosomal RNA". It matches the Rfam family "Bacterial small subunit ribosomal RNA", at positions 360 to 776 of the family's 1533-position model. The record is from RNAcentral.